AAUCAACGCUGGCGGCGUGCCUCAGACAUGCAAGUCGAACGCGAAAGUCCCCUUCGGGGGACAAGUAGAGUGGCGCACGGGUGAGUAACACGUAGGUAAUCUACCUUCGGAUGGGGAAUAACAACCGGAAACGGUUGCUAAUACCGCAUAAUGCAGCGGCACCUAAUGGUGACAGUUGUUAAAGCGGGGGAUCGAAAGACCUCGCGUCUGAAGAGGAGCCUGCCGCGGAUUAGCUAGUGGUAAGGUAAUGGCUUACCAAGGCGACGAUCCGUAGCCGGCCUGAGAGGACGAUCAGCCACACUGGGACUGAGACACGGCCCAGACUCCUACGGAGGCAGCAGUGGGGAAUCUUGCGCAAUGGGCGAAAGCCUGACGCAGCAACGCCGCGUGAGGGAAGACGGCCUCGGUGU
This 410-nucleotide ribosomal RNA is filed under the name uncultured bacterium. RNAcentral describes it as "bacterial SSU rRNA". It matches the Rfam family "Bacterial small subunit ribosomal RNA", at positions 32 to 423 of the family's 1533-position model. The record is from RNAcentral.